This is a non-coding RNA of Vicugna pacos (alpaca), 1122 nucleotides long. The record is from RefSeq and is a predicted model, not a curated record. Lineage: Eukaryota; Metazoa; Chordata; Mammalia; Artiodactyla; Camelidae.
CCUCUCUCCUUUCAGCAUGCUAGAAAGCAAAGAGAAUGGAAAUCAGGUAGCCAGAAGGAAAGAAAGCACGAAGAUAAUGAAGCAGUAACACCUACUGAUACACUGCUCCUUCCAACACACUUUGGAAAUGUUAAUCCAAUUCAAUGAGCACAUCUUAAAGAUGAGGAAACGAAGGCCCAGAGAAGGUAAUAAAAUGGGAAACUGUUAAACACACAUCCAUCUUCUGAACAGUGUUAUCCUAAGUCCAGGAGGAACCUUUCAAAACAGGAGUUCAGUCAGUCAUAAACCUUGCUCCGUACAGACUCUCCUCAGCCCCAGAACCAGUGUUUCAGAGUGAAUCUUUCCCCAGGGCCAGAAGGAGAAGGGAAAUGACAACUCACCAGGAGAAACAGAGGGCUGACAGCUACCCAGCAGAUCCUCCAAAACCAUCCGGGGCUGAAGCCGAGCAUUUCCUUCACAUCACUGCAGAACUGAGUGAUGCCUAAAAUCACCCGAAAGAGAGCGAGACUGAUUGACUGAGAGAGGAAACAGAUUGCCAUGCUAUCCCUUGAUGCUCAGAGAGAGUAGCAGCUCUAGGAUUUCUCCACAGGAGGGGCCGAUCAGGGGCACCAAUCUGGUCUGAAAGUGGGAUGGGGGAACUUGCCACAAAGCUGCGUGUGACAGCAAGCAAAGCUUUUCCUGCACUGAAUGGGAGGAUGGGUGGACAUUUGGGGAAGGACCUAAAGCUCCCUCUUGGUGCCCACACUGCUGUUCUAUGAUGUUGGCAUAGAUAUGAUUUUACUGUUGCUGUAGAAAAAAGGAAGUUGCCUUUUGUCUAGAAACAGUGAACCCACUUGACCAGAGACUGACUGAUCACAUACUGGAAACGUAAAAGAGAAAAUUUUAAACACAAUAUUGCUUAUUCAUAUGUCAGAUCAAGAUCAAGGUUCUACUACACGGGGUAACUGGCAUGGACUCUGACUGGGGAGACAAUGAGAAGGGGAAGGAAGGGUGCUCUGUGGUUGCUUCCCUGAAAAUGCCCAGCAAUACCUUGGGCAGGUCUGUGGCAUCACACACUUUGAUCUUUGUCCUCUGAAGUGCGGAGGAGGUGGGAGGACUUCUUUCCAAAAAAAAAAAAAAAAA